Molecule: ribosomal RNA, 429 nt
Filed under: bacterium
Lineage: Bacteria
Description: partial 16S ribosomal RNA
Rfam family: Bacterial small subunit ribosomal RNA
Source: RNAcentral
UAGGGAAUCUUCGGCAAUGGGGGCAACCCUGACCGAGCAACGCCGCGUGAGUGAAGAAGGUUUUCGGAUCGUAAAGCUCUGUUGUAAGAGAAGAACGUGUGUGAGAGUGGAAAGUUCACACAGUGACGGUAACUUACCAGAAAGGGACGGCUAACUACGUGCCAGCAGCCGCGGUAAUACGUAGGUCCCGAGCGUUGUCCGGAUUUAUUGGGCGUAAAGCGAGCGCAGGCGGUUUAAUAAGUCUGAGGUUAAAGGCAGUGGCUUAACCAUUGUUCGCUUUGGAAACUGUUAAACUUGAGUGCAGAAGGGGAGAGUGGAAUUCCAUGUGUAGCGGUGAAAUGCGUAGAUAUAUGGAGGAACACCGGUGGCGAAAGCGGCUCUCUGGUCUGUAACUGACGCUGAGGCUCGAAAGCGUGGGGAGCAAACAGG